RNAcentral lists this ribosomal RNA (324 nucleotides) under Kingella denitrificans. RNAcentral describes it as "bacterial SSU rRNA". It matches the Rfam family "Bacterial small subunit ribosomal RNA", at positions 157 to 473 of the family's 1533-position model. Lineage: Bacteria; Pseudomonadati; Pseudomonadota; Betaproteobacteria; Neisseriales; Neisseriaceae. The record is from RNAcentral.
GAUUGGCUAAUACCCGCAUACGUCCUGAGGGGGAAAGCAGGGGAUCUUCGGGCCCUUGCGCUAUUUGAGCAGCCAAUAUCUGAUUAGCUAGUUGGUGGGGGUAAAGGCCCACCAAGGCGACGAUCAGUAGCGGGUCUGAGAGGAUGAUCCGCCACACUGGGACUGAGACACGGCCCAGACUCCUACGGGAGGCAGCAGUGGGGAAUUUUGGACAAUGGGGGCAACCCUGAUCCAGCCAUGCCGCGUGUCUGAAGAAAGGGCUUCGGGUUGUAAAGGACUUUUGUUAGGGAAGAAAAGGGAAGUGCUAAUACCACUUUUUGCUGA